RNAcentral lists this ribosomal RNA (599 nucleotides) under Escherichia coli. Its description in RNAcentral is "partial 23S ribosomal RNA". It matches the Rfam family "Bacterial large subunit ribosomal RNA", at positions 591 to 1191 of the family's 2925-position model. Lineage: Bacteria; Pseudomonadati; Pseudomonadota; Gammaproteobacteria; Enterobacterales; Enterobacteriaceae. The record is from RNAcentral.
GUGUGACUGCGUACCUUUUGUAUAAUGGGUCAGCGACUUAUAUUCUGUAGCAAGGUUAACCGAAUAGGGGAGCCGAAGGGAAACCGAGUCUUAACUGGGCGUUAAGUUGCAGGGUAUAGACCCGAAACCCGGUGAUCUAGCCAUGGGCAGGUUGAAGGUUGGGUAACACUAACUGGAGGACCGAACCGACUAAUGUUGAAAAAUUAGCGGAUGACUUGUGGCUGGGGGUGAAAGGCCAAUCAAACCGGGAGAUAGCUGGUUCUCCCCGAAAGCUAUUUAGGUAGCGCCUCGUGAAUUCAUCUCCGGGGGUAGAGCACUGUUUCGGCAAGGGGGUCAUCCCGACUUACCAACCCGAUGCAAACUGCGAAUACCGGAGAAUGUUAUCACGGGAGACACACGGCGGGUGCUAACGUCCGUCGUGAAGAGGGAAACAACCCAGACCGCCAGCUAAGGUCCCAAAGUCAUGGUUAAGUGGGAAACGAUGUGGGAAGGCCCAGACAGCCAGGAUGUUGGCUUAGAAGCAGCCAUCAUUUAAAGAAAGCGUAAUAGCUCACUGGUCGAGUCGGCCUGCGCGGAAGAUGUAACGGGGCUAAACCAUG